Molecule: ribosomal RNA, 492 nt
Filed under: uncultured bacterium
Lineage: Bacteria
Description: partial 16S ribosomal RNA
Rfam family: Bacterial small subunit ribosomal RNA
Source: RNAcentral
AGUGAACGCUGGCGGUAGGCCUAACACAUGCAAGUCGAACGGCAGCACAGUAAGAUCUUGCUCUUACGGGUGGCGAGUGGCGGACGGGUGAGGAAUACAUCGGAAUCUACUUUUUCGGGGGGGAUAACGGAGGGAAACUUACGCUAAUAGCGCAUAUGAUCUACGGGUGAAAGCAGUGGAGCUUCGGACCUUGCGCGACUGAAUGAGCCGAUGUCGGAUUAGCUAGUUGGGGGGGUAAAGGCCCACCAAGGCGACGAUCCGUAGCUGGUCUGAGAGGAUGAUCGGCCACACUGGAACUGAGACACGGUCCAGACUCCUACGGGAGGCAGCAGUGGGGAAUAUUGGGCAAUGGGCGCAAGCCUGACCCAGCCAUGCCGCGUGAGUGAUGAAGGCCUUCGGGUCGUAAAGCCCUUUUGUUGGGAAAGAACAGCUGCAGAUUUAACCCCCGCUGUUCUGACGGUACCCAAUCAAUAAGCACCGGCUAACUUCGUG